Molecule: long non-coding RNA, 1087 nt
Filed under: Sarcophilus harrisii (Tasmanian devil)
Lineage: Eukaryota; Metazoa; Chordata; Mammalia; Dasyuromorphia; Dasyuridae
Description: lncRNA (ENSSHAG00000024984.1)
Source: RNAcentral
GGAGAUUUCAAAUAAAACCCUGAGGUUUGGAGCUUGGAAGACUGAUAAUGCCUUUUAUAACAAUAACAAAGGGGACUGAGUUUUGGGGAAAUAUGAUGAGUUCCAUUUUGAAUAUUCUAGUUCACAUAUGCUGAUAAGGCGUCCAGGAAGAGACAUCUAGCAGGAAAGAUGUUCUACUUGAUGCAUCAUAAUUUCAGUCAAUCUUGCUUUGUCUCACCACUGGAUUUGUCAAAUCCAAUUUUAUGUGGACCAGGGGAUGCUAAGGUCCAGAGCAGCAGAAGUGCGGAGCUACUCAGACCAUGUCUGAGACCAUAUCAGAUUAAAAGGGCACAGGGUCUUUUUUCAUUCUAUUCAUUCAGCUGAUCCGCUGUAGCAGCCCACAGAGACAGAGGACAGAAAGACAGAGACAGAGAGGGAAGUCUUCAAGGCCUCUUCCAGCACUAAAUCUAUGAUUCUUUUAUUUUAUGAAAUGAUGAGAUAGUUCAGAGGCAUACAAUACAAUAAAAAUUUAUUAUAAAAUUUCAGAAAACAUAAAUAUUCAGGUGCUCAUUACAAGUGGAGCUGCAUCAUAAGAACUUUAACUUGAAGGCAGCACCAAUACUGAAACGGAGUAUGUUGGAAACAAGAUGAUGUGCAGCUUUUUCAUUUAUGAAAUUGGCAUUCAUUCUAAAUGAGUAUUGUGAAAACAACCCAACCCCUAAAUUGCCACACAAGUAAAACAUGGAUUUCUGGUUUAGAAAGUUGGUUAUUUAGCAGACAACUAUUUUAGUAGUACCAUAUUUUUUUUUUAAUAAGAAACAGCAGGAUUUGGGCAUAACCAGAAAUUAAAAAAAAAUACAGAAUUCUUUCUUUCUCCUUUUUUCUUUCUCUUUCUUUCUUUCUUUCCUUCUUUCCUUCUUUCCUUCUUUCCUUCUUUCCUUCCUUCCUUCCUUGCCUUCCUUCCUUCCUUCCUUCCUUCCUUCCUUCCUUCCUUCCUUCUUUCCUUCCUUCCUUCCUUCUCUCAAUCUUUCUUUCUCUCAAUCUUUCUUUCUCUUUCUUAUACAGCAAAGUAUAAAGAAAUAAAUUUAAAAAGGAAAAGUCCUUUGUA